GCCUCGCCUGUUUACCAAAAACAUCGCCUCUUGCUAAACCAAAAGUAUAAGAGGUCCCGCCUGCCCUGUGACUAUAUGUUUAACGGCCGCGGUAUUUUGACCGUGCGAAGGUAGCGCAAUCACUUGUCUUUUAAAUGGGGACCUGUAUGAAUGGCAUAACGAGGGCUUAACUGUCUCCUUUUUCAAGUCAGUGAAAUUGAUCUCCCCGUGCAGAAGCGGGGAUAGACACAUAAGACGAGAAGACCCUGUGGAGCUUCAGACACUAAAGCAGAUCAGUAUUAAUACCCUGAACAUAAGGCACGAAUAAGAUGAUUCCUGCCCUAAUGUCUUCGGUUGGGGCGACCGCGGAGAAAUAUAUAACCCCCGCAAGGACUGAAUGUACUACAUUCACAACCAAGAGUGACAACUCUAAUUAACAGAACU
Molecule: ribosomal RNA, 423 nt
Filed under: Epinephelus itajara (Atlantic goliath grouper)
Lineage: Eukaryota; Metazoa; Chordata; Actinopteri; Perciformes; Serranidae
Description: partial large subunit ribosomal RNA
Rfam family: Bacterial large subunit ribosomal RNA
Source: RNAcentral